CUUUACUGUAGCCUGGAAUUGGGUUCGGGCUUUGACUGCGCAGGAUAGGCGGGAGACUAUGAGACAUCCCUUGUGGGGGAUGUGGAGUCAUCAGUGAGAUACCACUCUGUCAAGGCUAGAAUUCUAACUCAUUGCCGUGAUCCGGCAUGGGAACAGUUUCAGGUGGGCAGUUUGACUGGGGCGGUCGCCUCCUAAACGAUAACGGAGGCGCACAAAGGUUCCCUCAGGCUGGUUGGAAAUCAGCCGAAGAGUGUAAAGGCACAAGGGAGCUUGACUGUGAGACUGACAAGUCGAGCAGGGUGGAAACACGGUCUUAGUGAUCCGACGGCACUGAGUGGAAGGGCCGUCGCUCAACGGAUAAAAGUUA
Molecule: ribosomal RNA, 367 nt
Filed under: uncultured organism
Description: bacterial LSU rRNA
Rfam family: Bacterial large subunit ribosomal RNA
Source: RNAcentral